GGAAGUGUGAGGUUUUCAAAAGGAAAACAGACUCAUUUGAGGCUUACUUAUGAAAUAAAUCUUAGUGUCAGAGCACGAAGUAUUGGCUGUAGACCGAGACUGGAGAGAAAAUAUUGCACUGAACAUACACCCUGAGGGAUCUGUGAUCAGUGACUGUGACUCGCG
Molecule: long non-coding RNA, 165 nt
Organism: Suricata suricatta (meerkat)
Lineage: Eukaryota; Metazoa; Chordata; Mammalia; Carnivora; Herpestidae
Exons: 3
Source: RefSeq, a predicted model, not a curated record